GCGGACGUGGCGAAACUGGUAGACGCAAGGGACUUAAAAUCCCUCGGGCUUGCCCGUGCGGGUUCGAUCCCCGCCGUCCGCA
Molecule: transfer RNA, 82 nt
Organism: Rhizobium sp. LC145
Lineage: Bacteria; Pseudomonadati; Pseudomonadota; Alphaproteobacteria; Hyphomicrobiales; Rhizobiaceae
Rfam family: tRNA
About the family: Transfer RNA (tRNA) molecules are approximately 80 nucleotides in length.
Source: Rfam